CUCCCACCCACCCACCCCGCUCCAACUCACCUUUUAUUUACUUUCGUUCAAACGCCCGUGUCCCGCGACUGGACUAGGCGCUCACGCAAACAACAACAACAACAACAACAGGUUGUAGAAAAGGCCGGCGCGAGCCAAGCAUCCACCACCAAGUUGGGGAACCAUCGCAAGCAGGGAACAAAAAAGGGAACUUUCUAUUCUAUAAGCUAUUAAUACUUUAGCUUGAAACAAAUUAUCUGCCUAAGCUGUGUACCUGACAGUCAGACCACCGAAGAAGAACAAUAAAGUCCUCUGAUUUCGAUAGUCACAGGAACAAAGCACAAUAAGCUUCUCCUUAUUUUAUUUCCACAACAGAGUCCUGUGAGCUAGAUUAAUCUGAAUAGUCUCCCAAUAAAUUACAUGAAG
Pantherophis guttatus is the source of this 405-nucleotide non-coding RNA. The record is from RefSeq and is a predicted model, not a curated record. Lineage: Eukaryota; Metazoa; Chordata; Lepidosauria; Squamata; Colubridae.